GUGGUCACUUUGGCAGCACAAAUACUAAAAUUGGAACAAUACAGAGAUUAGCAUGGCCCCUGCACAAGGAUGACGUGCAAAUUCGUGAAGUGUUCCAUAUUUAA
Molecule: small nuclear RNA, 104 nt
Organism: Cercocebus atys (sooty mangabey)
Lineage: Eukaryota; Metazoa; Chordata; Mammalia; Primates; Cercopithecidae
Source: Ensembl